GGUCUUGACAUCCACGGAAGUUUUCAGAGAUGAGAAUGUGCCUUCGGGAACCGUGAGACAGGUGCUGCAUGGCUGUCGUCAGCUCGUGUUGUGAAAUGUUGGGUUAAGUCCCGCAACGAGCGCAACCCUUAUCCUUUGUUGCCAGCGGUCCGGCCGGGAACUCAAAGGAGACUGCCAGUGAUAAACUGGAGGAAGGUGGGGAUGACGUCAAGUCAUCAUGGCCCUUACGACCAGGGCUACACACGUGCUACAAUGGCGCA
This 260-nucleotide ribosomal RNA is filed under the name Pseudomonas aeruginosa. Its description in RNAcentral is "partial 16S ribosomal RNA". It matches the Rfam family "Bacterial small subunit ribosomal RNA", at positions 977 to 1237 of the family's 1533-position model. Lineage: Bacteria; Pseudomonadati; Pseudomonadota; Gammaproteobacteria; Pseudomonadales; Pseudomonadaceae. The record is from RNAcentral.